This 270-nucleotide ribosomal RNA is filed under the name uncultured Rhizobiaceae bacterium. RNAcentral's name for it is "partial 16S ribosomal RNA". It matches the Rfam family "Bacterial small subunit ribosomal RNA", at positions 1114 to 1382 of the family's 1533-position model. Lineage: Bacteria; Pseudomonadati; Pseudomonadota; Alphaproteobacteria; Hyphomicrobiales; Rhizobiaceae. The record is from RNAcentral.
GUUGCCAGCAUUUAGUUGGGCACUCUAAGGGGACGUGCCGGUGAUAAGCCGGAGAGGAAGGUGGGGAGUGACGUCAAGUCCUCAUGGCCCUUACGGGCUGGGCUACACACGUGCUACAAUGGUGGUGACAGUGGGCAGCGAGCACGCGAGUGUGAGCUAAUCUCCAAAAGCCAUCUCAGUUCGGAUUGCACUCUGCAACUCGAGUGCAUGAAGUUGGAAUCGCUAGUAAUCGCGGAUCAGCAUGCCGCGGUGAAUACGUUCCCGGGCCUU